UACGUAGGGACCAAGCGUUGUCCGGAAUCAUUGGGCGUAAAGAGUGUGUAGGCGGUGUUCUAAGUUUGUCGUGAAAUCUCCCGGCUUAACUGGGAGGGUGCGGCGAAAACUGGAAUGCUAGAGGAUGGGAGAGGUAAGCGGAAUUCCUGGUGUAGAGGUGAAAUUCGUAGAUAUUCGCAAGAACACCAGUGGCGAAGGCGGCUCACUGGCCCGGUACUGACGCUGAGGUGCGAAAGCGUGGGGAGCAAACAGG
Molecule: ribosomal RNA, 253 nt
Filed under: uncultured bacterium
Lineage: Bacteria
Description: partial 16S ribosomal RNA
Rfam family: Bacterial small subunit ribosomal RNA
Source: RNAcentral